Gallus gallus (chicken) is the source of this 1406-nucleotide long non-coding RNA. RefSeq lists it as uncharacterized. The record is from RefSeq and is a predicted model, not a curated record. The transcript is spliced from 3 exons. Lineage: Eukaryota; Metazoa; Chordata; Aves; Galliformes; Phasianidae.
GCUGCCUGAAGGAGACAGUCCAGGAUAUUAAUGAACAGACUUCUGCCAUGGUAGGUCAGUGCCUCAUAACAUCUAUCUGGUAGUCUUCUAUCCAACAGCUGGCCAUUCCAGGAGCUACAGGGGAAAACACAAGAAAGGCAAGGAGAACUGAGUUGUGGGAUGGAUAAACACGUUGCCAAUUGCCACACAGGAAGCCCUCAAGAGAACUGGAGGAAGCUCAGAUUUGCUGAAUGUGAGAUCAAGUUCAAAGAGCUUCAUCUGAAUGGCUGAACUAACACAGUGUCUUAAAACCUCCAGCAGAUCACACACUACCUGAGCUCUCGGGAGCAUGAACUAUUCUGUAGGAAAACAUAAACCUCUUUUUAUGUGUGAAGUGAAACCUGUGAGGUGUAACAUCUCCUGCAGCCCUGGGGAAGUCCUGGCUGUGGAUACGGUCCUCUGCAUUCCUGGAGCAGGUCUAGAGCAUCACCCCUCCCUACAGCUGAGCAAUACAAGGGGGUCACCACCACCUCUGAGAUUUCCCUGACCGAAUUUGCAAAGCUGACUCUGAAAGUAAACAUGCACCACAGCUGCACCGCUGCCUUUUUGUCGUCUCAUAGUAUAAGCAACAGCAAAGCACGGGGCUCAGAAUACAGUGUAUUCAGAAUAUCCAACAUAGAGGUGAAUUAAAGAAGUCACAAAUCAAAGAAGUGAAUGAGGCAUAGCAGUUGGAAGAAGGAAAAGAACAACGAAGGAAGUAGAGGUGACUUUAAGACUGGUAAGGUUAUUUCUUUCUUGUUUUAUUUUCUUUAUUAUUUGAUUUCUUGGACGGUGUGAUGUCUUAUCCUGUUAAGUGAAGGAACAUGAGAAGAGUGUUAUCUGUAUCUCCAAGCUGGUGGUAUCGGUAGAAGUGAUAUGUGAGGCUGGGAAUCAAGGUCCCAACCCAUUCUGCUCAUGGCUGGUUCACUGUCACAGAAAUUCAAGGGCGACAGACCUUAUACCAUCAGGAAGAGCCACAACAUUCCCAAGGAAAAAAAAAAAACAUAGCAGAUAUCCCUCCAUAAGAAACAAUCCGGAGUAGGAACAGGCUUGUCUAGUGUCCAGCUGAAGGUACCAGGGCUUAUCUAUAGUGCUGAGCUGCUGUUUUCAGAGUCAUAAGCAGCCACCUGACGUACAGCGACAAGAACAAGGCUGUCUUGGCAGUCUACACCAAAGAGGCUGUCUGAGAGCCUUCCCAGGCAAAAAAAAAAAAAAAAAAAAAAAAGAAAAAAGAAAAAAGAAAAAGGCCUUGACAUCACUUCACUGCAUGAAAAAGCUCAGAAGGUUUGGUUUUUACUCCAAGGCAGAUCCAAAACACAUUCUGAAACCUUGAAAGUCAUCGUAAAAUGGAUCCGUUGUCUUCCUGCCAGCUCCAGUCAGCUGGUUGG